Molecule: non-coding RNA, 197 nt
Filed under: Pyrinomonadaceae bacterium
Lineage: Bacteria; Pseudomonadati; Acidobacteriota; Blastocatellia; Blastocatellales; Pyrinomonadaceae
Description: 6S RNA
Rfam family: 6S / SsrS RNA
About the family: E. coli 6S RNA was the first non coding RNA to be sequenced, but its function was unknown until recently.
Source: RNAcentral
AACAGUCUGCGGGGUUCGCCACCGAGUUAAGAUAAUUGAGCCUUAUGCCGUCAAUUAGGGAGACCGAUGCCGCACAUUUCGGCCAGUGCAAUCCUUCAAAGCUAAGGAAUUGCCGGAGGCCGCGGCUUAAACCUUAGGUCACCCACCUGUGAGAGCAGGUUCAAUUACGGCUUCGGAGCGGCCACGGCGGAUUUCCC